GAUGUGAAGAAAGAUCUACACAUGAUUUUUAUUGAUUUGGAGAAGCUAAUGAUAGUGUUUUAAGAGAUGUCUUAUGGAGUGUAUUAGAACAAAAGAAGGUAUCUAUUAGGUAUAUACAAGUGUUAAAAGAUAUGUAUGAAAGAGCAAGUACUAUUGUGUGAACAGUAGGAGAGGACACAAGAGAUUUUUCGAUCUUAAUUGGAUUACACCAAAGAUCAGCUAUAAGCCCUUACCUUUUUAUAUUAGUUUUAGAUGAAUUGACGAA
Molecule: unclassified non-coding RNA, 265 nt
Filed under: Hevea brasiliensis (rubber tree)
Lineage: Eukaryota; Viridiplantae; Streptophyta; Magnoliopsida; Malpighiales; Euphorbiaceae
Source: RNAcentral